GGUUGUGUAGUGUAGUGGUCAUCACUCCAGAUUUUGAUUCUGGUAACCCCGGUUCGAACCCGGGCACGACCU
Molecule: non-coding RNA, 72 nt
Organism: Colletotrichum spaethianum
Lineage: Eukaryota; Fungi; Ascomycota; Sordariomycetes; Glomerellales; Glomerellaceae
Source: the annotation of a RefSeq genome assembly